GGGAAGGAGGAGGGGCGAGGUGACGCAGGCGUAAUAAUAGAGAAGGUGCCAGAAAGAUCCAAAACAAGUGGCUGCGGCCGUCGCCCAGGAGUCACCGGACGCCAGAAUCUGUGUCUCCAGAACGCUAUAGCUAUGGCACCUCCAGCUCUUCAAAGAGGACAGAGGGUAGCUGCCGUCGCCGUCGGCAGUCAAGCAGUUCUGCAAAUUCUCAGCAGGGUCAGUGGGAGACAGGCUCCCCCCCAACCAAGCGGCAGCGGCGGAGUCGGGGCCGGCCCAGUGGUGGUGCCAGACGGCGGCGGAGAGGGGCCCCAGCCGCACCCCAGCAGCAGCCAGAGCCCGCCAGACCUUCCUCUGAAGGCAAAGUGACCUGUGACAUCCGGCUCCGGGUUCGAGCAGAGUACUGCGAGCAUGGGCCAGCCUUGGAGCAGGGCGUGGCAUCCCGGCGGCCCCAGGCGCUGGCGCGGCAGCUGGACGUGUUUGGGCAGGCCACCGCAGUGCUGCGCUCAAGGGACCUGGGCUCCGUGGUUUGUGACAUCAAGUUCUCAGAGCUCUCCUAUCUGGACGCCUUCUGGGGCGACUACCUGAGUGGCGCCCUGCUGCAGGCCCUGCGGGGCGUGUUCCUGACUGAGGCCCUGCGAGAGGCUGUGGGCCGGGAGGCUGUUCGCCUGCUGGUCAGUGUGGAUGAGGCUGACUAUGAGGCUGGCCGGCGCCGCCUGUUGCUGAUGGAGGAGGAAGGGGGGCGGCGCCCGACAGAGGCCUCCUGAUCCAGGACUGGCAGGAUUGAUCCCACCUCCAAGUCUCCAGGCCACCUUCUCCUGGGAGGACGACCAUCUCUACCCCUAGAGGACUGUCACUCUAGCAUCUUUGAGGACUGCCACAGGACCAGGACAGCAGGCCCCUUGACAGCCCCUCCCACAGGAUGUGGGCUCUGAGGCCUAAACCAUUUCCAGCUGAGUUUCCUUCCCAGACUCCUCCUACCCCCAGGUGUGCCCCCUUAGCCUCUGGAGGCGGGGGCUGGGCCUGUAUCUCAGAAGGGAGGGGCACAGCUACACACUCACCAAAGGCCCCCCUGCACAUUGCAUCUCUGAUCUUGGGCUGUCUGCACUCUCACAGGUGCACACACUCACUCAUGCUCACACUGCCCCUGCUGAGAUCUUCCCUGGGCCUCUGCCCUGGCCUGCUUCCCAGCACACACUUCUUUGGCCUAAGGGCUUCUCUCUCAGGACCUCUAAUUUGACCACACCCAACCUGGGCUUCAGCCACAUCAGUGGGCACUGGAGCUGGGGUGCACAUGGGGCCUGCUCACCUUGCCCACACAUCUUCAGCCAGCCAGGGCCCUGCCCAGCUUCAAUUUACAGACCUGACUCUCCUCACCUUCCCCCCUGCUGUCCAGAGCUGAACAUAGACUUGCACUUGGAUGUCACCUGGAGUGUCACAUGGGAGUGUUAUGGCAGCAUCAUACCAAGGCCUACUGUUGCACAUGGGGCCAAAACCAGUAAACAGCCACCUUCUUGGAAAGGGAAUGCAUAGGCUUUGGGGGUGAUGGAAAAGACCUUUUACAAAUGAUACCAAUUAAACUGCCCUGG
RNAcentral lists this small RNA (1586 nucleotides) under Pan troglodytes (chimpanzee). RNAcentral's name for it is "processed transcript". The record is from RNAcentral. Lineage: Eukaryota; Metazoa; Chordata; Mammalia; Primates; Hominidae.